Molecule: long non-coding RNA, 257 nt
Filed under: Elaeis guineensis (African oil palm)
Lineage: Eukaryota; Viridiplantae; Streptophyta; Magnoliopsida; Arecales; Arecaceae
Description: long non-coding RNA (EGUI_LNC017238)
Source: RNAcentral
UUCUCUCUUAUUCCCUCUAUCUUUCCUGAUUUUAAUCUUAAAUUUUUUUGAGUUUUUCUGUUGAAAAUCUUGUGAAAAUCAUUUGUUUUUUUCAAAUUUGCUAUGUUAUCUUCCGUCUUUGAUUCCCAUCACCGUAAGCCAUCGCCAAUUGUCGAAUCCGAUCAAUUGUCACCAUUGAGGACUGCCCCUCCCAUCAUGGUGGUUGUUGGGUGGGGGAAUAUCUCCUGGUUCAGGAACAAAGGGAGCAAGGGCUCCUC